Molecule: ribosomal RNA, 497 nt
Filed under: uncultured bacterium
Lineage: Bacteria
Description: partial 16S ribosomal RNA
Rfam family: Bacterial small subunit ribosomal RNA
Source: RNAcentral
GAUGAACGCUGGCGGCGUGCCUAAUACAUGCAAGUCGAGCGAACAGAUAAGGAGCUUGCUCCUUUGACGUUAGCGGCGGACGGGUGAGUAACACGUGGGUAACCUACCUAUAAGACUGGAAUAACUCCGGGAAACCGGGGCUAAUGCCGGAUAACAUUUAGAACCGCAUGGUUCUAAAGUGAAAGAUGGUUUUGCUAUCACUUAUAGAUGGACCCGCGCCGUAUUAGCUAGUUGGUAAGGUAACGGCUUACCAAGGCAACGAUACGUAGCCGACCUGAGAGGGUGAUCGGCCACACUGGAACUGAGACACGGUCCAUACUCCUACGGGAGGCAGCAGUAGGGAAUCUUCCGCAAUGGGCGAAAGCCUGACGGAGCAACGCCGCGUGAGUGAUGAAGGUCUUCGGAUCGUAAAACUCUGUUAUUAGGGAAGAACAAAUGUGUAAGUAACUGUGCACGUCUUGACGGUACCUAAUCAGAAAGCCACGGCUAACUACGUG